This 518-nucleotide ribosomal RNA is filed under the name Colletotrichum gloeosporioides. RNAcentral's name for it is "eukaryotic LSU rRNA". The stretch from base 155 to 308 matches the Rfam family "5.8S ribosomal RNA". Lineage: Eukaryota; Fungi; Ascomycota; Sordariomycetes; Glomerellales; Glomerellaceae. The record is from RNAcentral.
CACCCUUUGUGACAUACCUAUAACUGUUGCUUCGGCGGGUAGGGUCUCCGUGACCCUCCCGGCCUCCCGCCCCCGGGCGGGUCGGCGCCCGCCGGAGGAUAACCAAACUCUGAUUUAACGACGUUUCUUCUGAGUGGUACAAGCAAAUAAUCAAAACUUUUAACAACGGAUCUCUUGGUUCUGGCAUCGAUGAAGAACGCAGCGAAAUGCGAUAAGUAAUGUGAAUUGCAGAAUUCAGUGAAUCAUCGAAUCUUUGAACGCACAUUGCGCCCGCCAGCAUUCUGGCGGGCAUGCCUGUUCGAGCGUCAUUUCAACCCUCAAGCUCUGCUUGGUGUUGGGGCCCUACAGCUGAUGUAGGCCCUCAAAGGUAGUGGCGGACCCUCCCGGAGCCUCCUUUGCGUAGUAACUUUACGUCUCGCACUGGGAUCCGGAGGGACUCUUGCCGUAAAACCCCCCAAUUUUCCAAAGGUUGACCUCGGAUCAGGUAGGAAUACCCGCUGAACUUAAGCAUAUCAAUA